AAAAAUGAUAAGUUUAAUUUCGACUUAAACAUAGAAAUUUAUUAUUUCCAUUUUUU
RNAcentral lists this transfer RNA (56 nucleotides) under Encarsia formosa. RNAcentral describes it as "tRNA-Arg". The record is from RNAcentral. Lineage: Eukaryota; Metazoa; Arthropoda; Insecta; Hymenoptera; Aphelinidae.